Molecule: ribosomal RNA, 438 nt
Filed under: uncultured bacterium
Lineage: Bacteria
Description: bacterial SSU rRNA
Rfam family: Bacterial small subunit ribosomal RNA
Source: RNAcentral
GCUAAACGCGAAGAACCUUACCUGGUCUUGACAUCCCGGGAACCCCGCAGAGAUGUGGGGGUGCCUUCGGGAACCCGGAGACAGGUGCUGCAUGGCUGUCGUCAGCUCGUGUCGUGAGAUGUUGGGUUAAGUCCCGCAACGAGCGCAACCCUUGUCCGUAGUUGCCAUCAUUCAGUUGGGCACUCUACGGAGACCGCCGGUGACAAAUCGGAGGAAGGUGGGGACGACGUCAAGUCAUCAUGGCCCUUAUGACCAGGGCUACACACGUGCUACAAUGGCCGGUACAGAGGGUUGCCAACCCGCAAGGGGGAGCUAAUCCCAGAAAACCGGUCGUAGUCCGGAUCGGAGUCUGCAACUCGACUCCGUGAAGUCGGAAUCGCUAGUAAUCGCGAAUCAGCAUUGUCGCGGUGAAUACGUUCCCGGGUCUUGUACACACCG